Molecule: long non-coding RNA, 5768 nt
Filed under: Sus scrofa (pig)
Lineage: Eukaryota; Metazoa; Chordata; Mammalia; Artiodactyla; Suidae
Description: lncRNA (ENSSSCG00065072070.1)
Source: RNAcentral
AUGCCAGAAAGAUUGUCAUACCCAACAGAGAGCAAUCCAAAACACUUUUAGGCUUGGCCUUAUGUGAGUGACACACAUAACUACUUCUUAAGUAACUAUUUUAUAAAGUGCUAAUUUACAGAUAUUUUCUCAUACAAAAAUUUGGCCUAUCUGAUGAAUUAUCCCAUCACUUACUUAACUGAUGCCUGGGAAGGAACUUAUGGCUUGAGGUUGAUUCUGCAUAGAAAUGUAUGAAGGAAGACAUGAAUGCUAUAAUUGGUGCUCUUUUACAAAAAUUUUUGGCAAAUGCUGAACUUUACAUUUUUCCUAGAUGAUGAUGUGUAGUGUUGGCAUCUGUAAUUUGCAGCUUACAUAUUUAAGUAUAUUGGGACAUCAACAUUAAUUUCUUGUCAAAAUUAAAAGAUAAGAAGACUUUUGCAGAUUAUCCAAAGAGACCGAAUAUACAAAUGGACAAUGGCGAGACCAUGUCUACAAAUAGAACUCUAACCUGCAACUAGCACAAGAAACCAGCCUUUUUCUACAGUAACCAGCCCAGGAAACCAACCUGCUAUAAAGAUAGACUUAUACGAAGUCAUAUUGCUGUCUCUACCACAACAAUCCUGGAAACCAAGCAAUAACCCCCUGCACCAGCUGGCCCCAAAUCACCAGAAAUUGAUUAAUAACUGACAGCUUCCUUAAUUUUUGUCCCUGCUUCUAACUUAGGACCAACCAGAAAAAAGCCAAAGAUGCACUCUUAACCAACCACAUAAGAUGUCCCGCCUCUAUCUAGAAGCCUUCCUUUUUUCCCACUAUUAAGCUUUCCUAUCUCUCUGUCUGCUUUUGAGUCUCUGCCAGAACACAAAUGGUAGUGGCUGAUAUCCUUGCUAUAGCAUGCUCUUUAAAUAGCCUUUGCAUGCUCUCAUUUUGUUGGUUUUAAUUUAUUUCCACACUAGGAUAUCACAAGACCACUUUAUAGCAGUUUCACAAAGUGAACAUAAAAUCUCUUUAAGGUAGUGGUGGGGCUUUUGCAUUUUCUCUCUGCUUCUUUGAUUUGAUGGAUUUGCUCAUCAAGGAACAUGUUUUCUCUUCAACAUCAGGGAACAUCCUUUCUCUUAUAAAACUCCAUUUAGUAAACUUUCAUUUUAAACUGUGGACAUGUCCUGAUACCUAAAUCUUUAAUUCAUUCAUUGGCUUUGUCUAAUCUACUGCUUAUCUCCAUUUAAUGUUUCAAGUGUUUAAGAAAUGUAGUUUUCUUUUUUAAAAUUUGGAAUUGGUUCUUUGUCAUAUUCACCUGUACUUGAUUCUUAUGUGCACAGAUUAUCUGUUUAAUAGAUUUAGGAUUUUAUUUUGUAGAUAACCUUAUCUUCUCUAUACACUUGAGGAUUUUGAAUUGCGAUUUUAAAGCACUUUCAAUUUGCUAUAUUAUUUCUGUUUCUUUGGGCAAAAAUUCUUCUGUCUUUCAGGUUUAUAGAAUGAGUUUAUUAGCAUUAGUUUUCUUUAUACAUGUCUGAAUAGGAUUUGAGAGCUCAUAUCUUGCGAGAGUUUUCAUUUUCUUUCACCCAUUUUCUCCAUUUUCUGUUUUGUGGUUCCAUGAUUUUCUCAUCCAGAGACAUCCAGAGUUCAGAGACAGUAUUAUAUAAGCAGCUCAGACAUUCACCCUAUGAUAAUUCUGCACUCUAAUCCCCUCAACCUCAUGUAAGCAACAGCCCACUUUCCAGUUCCUAGUUUAUGCUCCACACCAGGAAAACCCUAUGACAGUAGUUGGUCAUUGUUUCUAUAUUUGUUGAUGAAAGGGUGAAUGGGAACCUAAUCUCAGUCUUCAGAUAGGGAAGAUGGUACUCCUUCUUCAUUUCAUAUAAAGUGUAAUCAGUUUCAUUUUCACACAGGAAUUCUGGGACUCUGGACCCUUCUGUUAUAGCUUUAUUACCUAAGUCACUGCUCAACACUGUGGGGGUCCUAUUUUAUUUCUUACCCAGAGAGAUUUUUUAAUUUGUGUUAGAAUGUAGCUACAUAUAUUUAAUGUAUUUUAAAAUACUUAUUUAUCAUUUCCUUUUGUUUGGAACAGAUAAGAGUGAUUAUAAACUGCAUGCCAUAUUAAUAACUGAACUGCUUUCUGUCUGCUGCCAAGUGUUAACUUGGUUAAGACAGUAGGCUUUGAAGUCAGAUCUGGGUUUGAAUCCUGGUGGUACCACUUAUUAGUGAUCUGACAUUUGACAAGUUAAUUAGACCUUGUUAAAGCCUCAAUUCUCUCAUUGGAAAAGUGAAAAUGGCACAAUUGUCUAUUUUAUAGGAAAAGAGAGUUAAGUAACAAAUACAUAGUACUUAAAAUGGUGCCUGGCACAUAGCAAACACUGGAUGUGAGGUGUUCGAUACUACUUCUGCUACUGCUUCAUUGUUAUUCUCAAGCUGACAGCAAAAUGCCUUCAUUCCAUUUUUUUUUUGUUUGUUUGUUUUUGUUUUCCCCCACCUGGCGCUUUUAUCUUGUAUUAUUUUUAUUUUUUAUUUUAUUUUUUUCUUUUUACGGCUGCAUCUGUGGCAUAUGGAAGUUCCUAGGCCAGGAGUCUAAUCAGAGCUGCAGCUGGGGCCUAUGCCACAGCCAUGGCAACAGUGGAUCUGAGCCACAUCUGUGACCUAUGCUGCAGCUUGUGGCAGUGCUGGAUCCUCAACCCACUGAGUAAGGCCAGGAAUUGAACCUACACCUCAUGGACACUAUGUGUUCUUAACCUGCUGAGCCAUGAUGGGAACUUCUUGUAUUUCUUGGUUAUUGGUUUUAUAGUUUUAAUCUGGUUAUAAAUUAGUGUACUCAAAGCUCUAUAUUCCAAAGUUUUAUCUUUUUAAGGAAGAUGGAUCCUUAAAAAGGAUUGUUAUUGUAAUAUAAUAACAAUACAAUAUUGUGUACAAUAUUUUUAAGACAAGGGAUAUUUAUUCAUAAACCAAAUUGUGCUUUGGUCAUAGGGGACAUAUAUUAUAGAAAUAAAUAUUGUUGUAUGCAUGUUACAUUUUUAAUAUUACCUGGAUGACCACGGUUGAUUUUGAGAAUAAUAUACAUCAAAUGACAUGUACACAGUGGACUUGAUACUCAUUUAAUAAGUGUUAUUGCUGUAGUUUUCCCUGAGAUUUUUAUUUUACUUAAAUUUGGUAAGUAAGUAAAUGGGACAUGUAAAUAAUGAAGAAACUACAUUCCUAAGGAGAGAGAGACAGCAGUAAUCCAAGUUUAAAUCUCACUUUAUAACUUCGAAUCUAUAAAAACCACACAAAAAUUAUAACAUCAGAAGCACAUUUGGUUUGCUUUUAGCUAUUGAGUGCAGAGACAUUACAGGAUUGAUGUUUGCAUUCUGAUUUUAUUAUAAAAACUAUAAACAUAAUUAAAUGCCAUUAUACCCUUUAUGAAGGACACAUUUUAGUGCCUAUGAAUGUAAUAGUGUCCUGUUAUUACAUAAUCUCAUGUGAUACAAUAAAAGUGUAUAAAAUAAAACACACAUAUAGAUAUAAACUCUACCUUUGGGCUGAAUCUUAAUAUUGUACUUUUCAGAUUAGCAUUACGAAGAGAUUCUAUUAAUAUUGAUCUUCUAUUUUAUUUCCCAUUUUAAAAGCAGUUACUAUUUUUGAGUUUUUUAUUUUAAACCUAAUUUUCAUUAUUCUACACUCAAAAUGAUAUAUUCCUUUACAAGACCUCACUCAGAGAUAAGACAAUGCCUUUUCUUAAAAACUAAAAAAAAAAAGUAUCACUAGACACUUCAUUUAUAAAUUGUACAAACCAUAUAUUUUUUGCAUUUAGAUUUGUAAAUGGAAAGAAAGUGCCUUAAGAAACAUACAUUUUAUAAGUUCUGCUUAUGCUUGCCGUUAUUAAAAUGUACACUUGUUGCUAUUUAAAAACUUGAUUUUAAUAGUUGUACUUUUAAAAUAGUAAGAUACUUUUAAGUCAAAUUAAUCUCAGUUUUAGUGAAACAAUGACCUUUGAAUUUACAGACAACAUCUGGAGGAAACAGCUGGAUAACUGAUCAGGUGUUUUUCCAAGUAGAAGUGCAAUGUGGUGUUCCUGUGGUACUGUUUAGAGAUUUGCAAUUCUCACAUCAUGUAGCACACAGUGGUGCUAUUAAUUAGAAACUGAUGGAAAGCCAGAAAUAAAUCCUUAUGUCAAGCAGAAUGUCUUACAUGGAGGAGAUUCAAAAGUCAUGCAACUUUCUGAAAUUGAAAUGUUCAGGGUAGCAGCAAGGAUAACAGACUCCCUACUGUCAAGUCAAUAUUUUCUAACUGCUAAAUGUUAAUUUCUCUAAUAUCUGGCUUCUCUCUUAGAUGCAUAACAUUAAAAUGGACUUUCUGAUCCUUUAUAAAAUUAGUGAUACCAAAAAACUAUUAAAUUGUUCAGGAUGCAUUGUAUAUGCCUUAUAAAAUAAUUUCAAAUAUUAUACAUUUGCUAUUGUUGCAAACAUAAUAGCUAUAAAAUUAAUAUUAUAAUUUUAUUUAUUUAUAAUUUUCUCUCACUCUAGUGCAUUUCCCUUUUCCUUGGCCCCUAGUGAUGAGUAUAUUACUGAUCAUAACUCAUAUGUAGUCAUAAAUUUAAACAUCAUCUUUGGCAUGUAGACUGGACUUUGCCUAGAACAUUUGAUGGGCUCUGUGUUCUAUUUAAUUAAUUAAUUAAUUUAGGGCUUCAGGUGUGGCACAUCAAAGUUCCAAGGCUAGGGCUCAAAUCAGAACUGUAGCCGCCGACCUAUGCCACAGGCACAGCAACGUGAGAUCCAAACUGCAUCUUUGACCUAUACCACAGUUCACGGCAACGCUGGAUCCUUUAACCCCCUGAGCAAGGCCAGGGAUCAAACCUGCAUCCUUAUGGAUACUAGUCCAGUUUUUACCGUUGAGUCAACAUGGGAACUCCAGAGUCUGUUUUCUUAACACUUGCCUUAAUAUAGAAGAUAGUUUCUAGUACCAGUUUCUUAGCUAUUUUUUUUUUUUUUUUGUAACAUACCUGGCCAUGUCAAGUCUGAUACACCAUUAAAAUAAUAUAUUUUAUUGCUAUUCAGUGUGUAAUCUGUGGAUCAGGAGAUGGGACAGCACCUGAAAGCUUAUGAGAAAUGUAGGCUCUCAGGCCCUAUGUCAGACCUACUACAUUAGAAUUUUCAUUUUUGUAAAAUGUCUGAGUAAUUUGCAUAUUAAAGGUUGAGAAGCCUAUCUUGGAACAGUGGUUCUCUACCAUGCUGCAUGUUAACAUGCUUGUAUUGCUCAAAAUACUCUUAUCUGAAACCUAUUCAAUCUACAUGAAAUGUUUGGGUAGGGUGGGAGGCUUGGGGGUAGAGGAUGGACUAAGCCCAUGCAUUUCUAAAAAGCUUCCAGAUGAUUUUGGUGCAGAGACAAACUUAGAAUCAAUUUAUUUGGUGGGUGACAGCAGAAUCAUCUAGGGGUACCUGUGAAAAUGCACAUUCCUGACUCUUUCUCCAGAGAUUAGUAUUCUUUAAAAAUAGGGUAGGUGUUUGGAAAUUCCCCAUCUGUCAUCUCACAGUCCACAAUUAAACUACAAUCUUGUUAAAGCUGUUGUAAAAAACAAAACAAAACAAAAAAACCUGACCUUUUAAAGAAUUAACUGAAGGAAAUGCAAUUUUCAUUAUAUAUGGAAGAAGAAUAAUUUGGGUAGGUAGGAAGGAAAGAUUUUAGGCAUGUUUAGUCAAGGUCGAGCGUACAUUUUUCUAAGAUUCUCCCACCUGUGCUUCUUCCAGCAUCAGAUUCAUCCUUGGGUAGAAAAAUGCCUUCAUCACUCACGGGGAUCAUUCAUAUUUUUACUUCACACUAAGUAG